Molecule: long non-coding RNA, 1202 nt
Filed under: Patiria miniata (bat star)
Lineage: Eukaryota; Metazoa; Echinodermata; Asteroidea; Valvatida; Asterinidae
Description: uncharacterized LOC119733619
Source: RNAcentral
GAACCGAGCUAAUAUUUUUUUUUUCGUGAAUUUUCGUCCUUGAAUAUCACAUUUUUGGCGACAUUUCGGCUUGAAAACGCAUGUGACACGCGUUGAGCAUCAAGAAAUGCACACUGGGAAGCUGCUAAACGAGUUCCAAAAUGCUAAAUCUUGCAGCAAAAACGAAGAUUCUGUACUGCUUAUGUCUCGUCGAAGUCAAGAAACCUCCGAUCUCCAUUCACACCACGUUAUAAAGGACAUGGCAGGCAUUGCAUGCCCGCACUCGUCAUACUCGUGGGAAGAAAUCUGACACCAUUCGGCGGCAUAUCACGCGGUCGUCGCCGGCCAGCCGUGCCGGGAGUUCGAGCUCGAAACCCCACCACAAACAUCGCUUGUGACAGGCACCGCUUUGGAGUCGAGUUUUGGGUGUAAUAUGCGGCUGUAAAUGGAGAUGUUUUGAUUGUUCCUUCUGAUGACGAUGCAGACCUUGGAAUCUACAUUACGAGACAUGAUGAAGAACUCUGUGAAGAAUCAAACUAUGGCCAGACUUGAACUGAAUUUUAAAAAUCCUUUUAUUUAAUAUACUUUAAAAAAUUUUAAUUAUUUUAAUAAUGGAGACUAGACAUGCAUUAAACAGAAAUGUAACCAUUAACAAAUGUACUCAGAAGUAGUCAGAAGAAAUCAAAAGUAAGUUUACCGACUUAGUCUUAGAAUAGCUACAUGGCUUCUGCUGACAACCAAGUAUAUGUAUCAUCGAGCCAAUGCAAAACUAGAGACUUUAAUUGUUUAUUUUGACAAAAUAUCUCCUGAUUAAAUUGAUAUUGCAGUAUACAUGUAGUGAACAAAAAUUGCAGUAUGGUUAUAAGACAAAAAUGCUUGGGUCUAGUAACAUCGGCUGUUAUAUUGGAUUCGAAAUUAGGAUUGCAGCAAGGAUUUAAUUUUUCAUUCUAGUGAUUUUCGAAUAAAAGUGUUUUUUUUUUACAAAUUAUUUUGUUGAAAGAACAAAAAGCAAAACACUAAAACUGGUCGGUGUUUCAAACUGAAAUUGAAACUUGGGCUUUCAAAAAGGGAUGGAAAGAGAAAAUUCAAUGAAAUAAUUAUAAUAAUUUAAAUGAGGAAUAGGUCUACUGAAUACCAUUGCUACUUUUCAUAAAUAAUGGAUUAUCUUGUAAUUUAACAGUCUACCAGGUGCAACAAUAAAAAAUUUCACGGAACUGCUUAAA